AACGAACGCUGGCGGCAUGCCUAACACAUGCAAGUCGAACGAGACCUUCGGGUCUAGUGGCGCACGGGUGCGUAACGCGUGGGAACCUGCCCUUAGGUUCGGAAUAACUCCCCGAAAGGGGUGCUAAUACCGGAUAAUGUCUUCGGACCAAAGAUUUAUCGCCUUUGGAUGGGCCCGCGUUGGAUUAGCUAGUUGGUAGGGUAAAAGCCUACCAAGGCGACGAUCCAUAGCUGGUCUGAGAGGAUGAUCAGCCACACUGGGACUGAGACACGGCCCAGAAUCCUACGGGAGGCAGCAGUGGGGAAUAUUGGACAAUGGGCGAAAGCCUGAUCCAGCAAUGCCGGGUGAGUGAUGAAGGCCUUAGGGUUGUAAAGCUCUUUUACACGGGAUGAUAAUGACAGUACCGGGAGAAUAAGCUCCGGCUAACUCCGUG
Molecule: ribosomal RNA, 433 nt
Filed under: uncultured bacterium
Lineage: Bacteria
Description: partial 16S ribosomal RNA
Rfam family: Bacterial small subunit ribosomal RNA
Source: RNAcentral